Molecule: transfer RNA, 72 nt
Filed under: Camelus bactrianus (Bactrian camel)
Lineage: Eukaryota; Metazoa; Chordata; Mammalia; Artiodactyla; Camelidae
Also listed under: 2 other names
Rfam family: tRNA
About the family: Transfer RNA (tRNA) molecules are approximately 80 nucleotides in length.
Source: Rfam by way of RNAcentral
GAGGGUAUAGCUCAGUGGUAGAGCGCAUGCUUAGCACGCAUGAGGUGCUGGGUUCAAUCCCCAGUGCCUCCG